RNAcentral lists this ribosomal RNA (449 nucleotides) under uncultured bacterium. RNAcentral describes it as "bacterial SSU rRNA". It matches the Rfam family "Bacterial small subunit ribosomal RNA", at positions 354 to 796 of the family's 1533-position model. The record is from RNAcentral.
GUGGGGAAUCUUGCGCAAUGGGGGAAACCCUGACGCAGCGACGCCGCGUGAGUGAUGAAGGCCUUCGGGUUGUAAAGCUCUGUGGAGAGGGACGAAUAAGUGUGGUCGAAUAGGCCGCAUGAUGACGGUACCUUUUUAGCAAGCACCGGCUAACUCUGUGCCAGCAGCCGCGGUAAGACAGAGGGUGCAAACGUUGUUCGGAAUUACUGGGCGUAAAGCGCGUGUAGGCUGCUUGGAAAGUCGGAUGUGAAAGCCCUGGGCUCAACCUAGGAAGUGCAUUCGAAACUUCCAAGCUCGAGUUUCGGAGAGGAAGGCGGAAUUCUCGGUGUAGAGGUGAAAUUCGUAGAUAUCGAGAGGAACAUCGGUGGCGAAGGCGGCCUUCUGGACGAUGACUGACGCUGAGACGCGAAAGCGUGGGGAGCAAACAGGAUUAGAAACCCUAGUAGUCC